GGAAGACGGCCCUAUGGGUUGUAAACUGCUUUUGUACGGGAAGAAACACCCCCUCGUGAGGGGGCUUGACGGUACCGUAAGAAUAAGGAUCGGCUAACUCCGUGCCAGCAGCCGCGGUAAUACGGAGGAUCCAAGCGUUAUCCGGAAUCAUUGGGUUUAAAGGGUCCGUAGGUGGACGGUUAAGUCAGGGGUGAAAGUCUGCAGCUCAACUGUAGAAUUGCCUUUGAUACUGGUCGUCUUGAAUCAUUGUGAAGUGGUUAGAAUAUGUAGUGUAGCGGUGAAAUGCAUAGAUAUUACAUAGAAUACCGAUUGCGAAGGCAGAUCACUAACAAUGUAUUGACACUGAUGGACGAAAGCGUGGGUAGCGAACAGGAUUAGAUACCC
This 384-nucleotide ribosomal RNA is filed under the name uncultured Flavobacterium sp. RNAcentral describes it as "bacterial SSU rRNA". It matches the Rfam family "Bacterial small subunit ribosomal RNA", at positions 406 to 787 of the family's 1533-position model. The record is from RNAcentral. Lineage: Bacteria; Pseudomonadati; Bacteroidota; Flavobacteriia; Flavobacteriales; Flavobacteriaceae.